UCAGCUUGCUUUUCAUGCAGCUCAGAAUGAAGAUACCUGAAUCUAGACCUCAUCAUCAUGUAGCUCCAUUUGUAAAAAAGAGAAAAAAUAUUUGCUUCCUAUCUCAACCCUCCUAAGCCAAAUAACGUCCUGCUGUACCAAAAGGUGACAAUCUCGCUGAAGUCCCCUGCAGGAUCAUGGCAACCAACGGGGGCUAAAUGCUUGACUACGAUGAACAAAUGCUAUUAACACUGGCAUCACUAUUAUGACACUUCUUGCUGUUAAAAAAUCAAGGCCAUUCACCAAUGAAUGAAAAAACCACAGCCUAGUGCAAUUGAAAGAGACACAAUCAGCGAGGACGAGUACACAUACCAACAUGGCUUUCAUUUUGGUGAAAAUUCCGGAAGAGUGGAUGCAGAAGAGCAAAUAUGAUAAGAAUGUGCAAAGUUGAAAGCGAAGAGAAAAGAGACCUUUAAAAUGUUGUGCUAUGAAACAUGAGACAGGGUCCUCGAAUAGGAGUUAUCAUGCUUUUGAGCGGGCACGUUGGGAAGCAUCAGCCUUGAGAUUCCUUUCUGUGGUGUCCUGCAGCUCGCAGCAGCUUGGAAUGCAGAUAAAUGCAAACUUCAUCAAGAAAUCACUGACAUUUGAAGAGCACCUUUAAAAAAUCGAACCCAAACAUGCUUGGCAGUAUAUACGGAGGAAUCAUUUUGCUUUAAUCUGAUCCGUUAUUUAGAGAAAUCAGAAGGGAAGUCAGAUCGUAAAGCCCCUAUCAUUUCUAGGGGCAGCACGAAAAGCUCAAGACAGCAAGCAUGCAGAGAUACGAGGGGGUGCUGGCUCCCAGUGGCGCACAGACAGGGCUAACUACCUGACGGAUGUGCUCCUUCUGUUCGCUCAUCCCUGGAAACAGCUGAACCUGACAGGGCCCAAAGCUGCUAUAAGGAUAUCUUUUGAACCAGAAAGACCCACUGACCUGACACUAGGCCUGAACUUUGACCACAGCGCUUGAAAGCAAGAGUUUCCCUGGGAAAGCCAGGAUCUACAAUUGCCGCAGCCCACCUUCCAAACUGGGGCAAUACCAUGGUUGUGGCAAGGGAGCAAGUAAGGUGACACACAAGCUUUUUUUUCUUUUUUAAAGUGUGUUCUGUAUGGAAUGGAAGCAAUUAUUUUAUGCUGUUUAACAGACAGGAGAGGCAAUCUGGCAAAAAUCUUCUGAUUCUAAAAAUACACUGAUAGCAAAUGGGACAAGUAAAUGGAAGAUCUCUGUAUUACUGUCUAAUUUUUCUAUAAAUUUGAAGUUACACCAAAAUAAAGUCACAGGAAUUAU
Long non-coding RNA from Leopardus geoffroyi (Geoffroy's cat), 1303 nucleotides. RefSeq lists it as uncharacterized. Lineage: Eukaryota; Metazoa; Chordata; Mammalia; Carnivora; Felidae. The transcript is spliced from 2 exons. The record is from RefSeq and is a predicted model, not a curated record.